RNAcentral lists this ribosomal RNA (253 nucleotides) under uncultured bacterium. Its description in RNAcentral is "partial 16S ribosomal RNA". It matches the Rfam family "Bacterial small subunit ribosomal RNA", at positions 524 to 776 of the family's 1533-position model. The record is from RNAcentral.
UACGUAGGGGGCAAGCGUUGUCCGGAUUUAUUGGGCGUAAAGAGCGUGUAGGCGGCUAGGUAGGUCCGUUGUGAAAACUCGAGGCUCAACCUCGAGACGCCGGUGGAAACCAUCUAGCUAGAGUCCGGAAGAGGAGAGUGGAAUUCCUGGUGUAGCGGUGAAAUGCGCAGAUAUCAGGAAGAACACCCGUGGCUAAGGCGGCUCUCUAGUACGGUACUGACGCUGAGACGCGAAAGCGUGGGGAGCGAACAGG